UGCAUCAGUAGCUAGUUAUAAAUAUUAUCUGGGGAAUAAAUUUGAUUAACAAUAUACAGUGUUCUUGUCAUUUGGUUGGUCGCGUAUUUGGUUUGAAGUGCCAAUUAUCCUCAUAUUAAUAUGAAGUUAGUCGCGUUGAUCUGUUCGCUGUUGGUGGUUGCCUGUCAAGCCAACAAUGGAGUGACGCCAACUACAGUAAACAAUUACGUAGAAACCCGCAACAACAAUUACAACAUAAAUAGCAACAUGAACGUCCCGAAUCCGUACAACAUGCCACCACCAUACCAAAACCCUAUGAUCGGUCCUUACCAACCAGUGCACAACCCGAAUCUUGCUGAGGGCAUACUUCAUACUGUUUCUGACACUGUGUGGAACAUUGGAAGCCUCAUAGGACAUCGACGUUACUAAAAGAUAUUAUAGAAAUAAUGACAGUAGCAUAUCAAAGAACUUACCUUUGGACCAAUGACAACACGGAAUGCGACUUGCCAUAGGCUUCAGUUAUAACAUAUCUUGCGUUUAACU
This is a long non-coding RNA of Pieris napi, 522 nucleotides long. RefSeq lists it as uncharacterized. NCBI's taxonomy places the organism in Eukaryota, Metazoa, Arthropoda, Insecta, Lepidoptera, Pieridae. The record is from RefSeq and is a predicted model, not a curated record. The transcript has 3 exons.